UACGUAGGGGGCGAGCGUUGUCCGGAAUCAUUGGGCGUAAAGAGCGUGUAGGCGGCUUGGCAAGUCUGACGUGAAAGCCCGCGGCUCAACCGCGGAUUGUCGUUGGAAACUGCCUCGCUAGAGUCCGGAAGAGGAGAGUGGAAUUCCUGGUGUAGCGGUGAAAUGCGCAGAUAUCAGGAAGAACACCAAUGGCGAAGGCAGCUCUCUGGGACGGUACUGACGCUGAGACGCGAAAGCGUGGGGAGCGAACAGG
Molecule: ribosomal RNA, 253 nt
Filed under: uncultured bacterium
Lineage: Bacteria
Description: partial 16S ribosomal RNA
Rfam family: Bacterial small subunit ribosomal RNA
Source: RNAcentral